ACUACGGGUGGCAGCAGUGGGGAAUAUUGGGCAAUGGGCGCAAGCCUGACCCAGCAACGCCGCGUGAAGGAAGAAGGCUUUCGGGUUGUAACCUUCUUUUCUCAGGGACGAAGAAAGUGACGGUACCUGAGGAAUAAGCCACGGCUAACUACGUGCCAGCAGCCGCGGUAAUACUUAGGUGGCAAGCUUUCUCAGGAUUUAUUGGGUGUAAAGGGCGUGUAGGCCGGAGCUGAAGUCAGAUCUGAAAACUCAGGGCUCAACCCUGAGCCUGCAUUUGAAACUGUGGUUCUUGAGGGCUGGAGAGGCAAUCGGAAUUCCGUGUGUAGCGGUGAAAUGCGUAGAUAGACGGAGGAACACCAGUGGCGAAGGCGGAUUGCUGGACAGUAACUGACGCUGAGGCGCGAAAGCGUGGGGAGCAAACAGGAUUAGAUACCCCAGUAGUC
Molecule: ribosomal RNA, 443 nt
Filed under: uncultured bacterium
Lineage: Bacteria
Description: partial 16S ribosomal RNA
Rfam family: Bacterial small subunit ribosomal RNA
Source: RNAcentral